Molecule: unclassified non-coding RNA, 244 nt
Filed under: Hevea brasiliensis (rubber tree)
Lineage: Eukaryota; Viridiplantae; Streptophyta; Magnoliopsida; Malpighiales; Euphorbiaceae
Source: RNAcentral
AAUUUGGUAGUAGUUUCCAUGUCAUACAGUAUAUUACAGAGAAAAAGCGUGGGAGAAAUAUACAUUAACACCCACAAGAACAAUAAGAUGCCGUCUAAAGGAUAGUUUCUAUCAGUGACUUUCAUACCUUAAAUGAAAGGAUAAUAUUUUGGUUUUUUGACAUUCAUCUUAGAAAUUGUAGAAUUAACAUUUUUUUGUCCAAAAAACCUUGUAAUCAGUGCAUAUCUAGUAGUCCUAGAAAAAU